RNAcentral lists this ribosomal RNA (497 nucleotides) under uncultured bacterium. RNAcentral's name for it is "partial 16S ribosomal RNA". It matches the Rfam family "Bacterial small subunit ribosomal RNA", at positions 28 to 507 of the family's 1533-position model. The record is from RNAcentral.
GAUGAACGCUGGCGGCGUGCCUAAUACAUGCAAGUCGAGCGAACGGACGAGAAGCUUGCUUUUCUGAUGUUAGCGGCGGACGGGUGAGUAACACGUGGAUAACCUACCUAUAAGACUGGGAUAACUUCGGGAAACCGGAGCUAAUACCGGAUAAUAUUUUGAACCGCAUGGUUCAAAAGUGAAAGACGGUCUUGCUGUCACUUAUAGAUGGAUCCGCGCUGCAUUAGCUAGUUGGUAAGGUAACGGCUUACCAAGGCAACGAUGCAUAGCCGACCUGAGAGGGUGAUGGCCCAACCGGGAAAGGGGACCGGGCCCGGCCUCCUCGGGGAGGCGGAGGGGGGAAUCCUUCCGAAAGGGGGGAAGCCCUGACGGAGCAGCGCCGGGGGAGUGAGAAGGGUUUUCGGAUCGAAAAACUUUGUUAUUGGGAAAAAACAUAUUGGAAAGUAACUGUCCACAUCUGGAGGGUACUUAAUAAGAAAGCCCCGGCUAACUACGUC